RNAcentral lists this ribosomal RNA (325 nucleotides) under Rhogostoma sp. RNAcentral describes it as "SSU rRNA". The stretch from base 105 to 325 matches the Rfam family "Eukaryotic small subunit ribosomal RNA", at positions 735 to 955 of the family's 1831-position model. Lineage: Eukaryota; Cercozoa; Thecofilosea; Cryomonadida; Rhogostomidae. The record is from RNAcentral.
GACUUCUGGUGUAAUGCGCCUGGCCCGCGGCUCUUUAGGCCUGUGAGUGCCGGAGCGCGUUUACCAUCCUUCUGGGGAACGGGUCUACCCUUUACUGGGCCGGAUUCGGGAUCCAGAUCAUUUACUUUGAAAAAAUUAGAGUGUUUAAAGCAGGCUAUUGCUAUGAAUACAUUAGCAUGGAAUAAUAAUCUAGGACUUUCGGUUCUAUUUUGUUGGUGUUCUGGAGCUGAAGUAAUGAUUGAUAGGGAUAGUUGGGGGUGCUAGUAUUCAAUGGCCAGAGGUGAAAUUCUCGGAUUCCUUGAAGACUAACUUAUGCGAAAGCAUU